This 1091-nucleotide long non-coding RNA is filed under the name Coturnix japonica (Japanese quail). Its description in RNAcentral is "lncRNA (ENSCJPG00005008003.1)". Lineage: Eukaryota; Metazoa; Chordata; Aves; Galliformes; Phasianidae. The record is from RNAcentral.
AUGCUUGCAGUCAAGAUGCACCUUUGCAGCAAAUACAGCGGGAGAGAAAAAUUCAUGACACAGCCUUUCAUUGAAAAUCAAUACAGCCCAGACCUGCCCGUGAUACACGCACUCAAUUUAUCCCCCGCCUGGCUUGCAGCAUCCUCACCACCAGUCCCCCAGCCGCAGCAAGGGGAGUGGGGAGGGUUGAGAAGGGAGGCGGUGUGCUGGUCCAGGAACACAUCCAGCCAAGGGCAGCCUUGCUGGUGUCAAGGAGCAACCACCAGGAUGGGGACUGGGCAGAGCUGUGAUGCCUCCGGGUGUUACUGCAGCAGGGAGCAUGGCAGCCUGCUGGAUGCUGCCUGGGGCUGGAGUAACCUCCAGGCUGACUUCUCAACACUGCCGCUCAUAUGUCUCUCUAGAUCAGAGGAUCAUGGAGGCACACAGCACCUGAAGGCUCCUGGGUACUCUGCAUCAUCAGCAUUGGCCAUUUAGGAAGGGAUAUCAUCGAGUCAUUAAGGUUGGGAACCACCUCUAAGAUCACCAAGUCCAACCACAACCCAUCACCACCAUGCCCCUCAGUGCCAAGUCUACAUUUUCUUUCUUGAAAAUCUCCAGGGACAGUGAAUCCACCACCUUAAUAUCAAUAGGUCUACCCCAUAACCCUCUUCACACAGGGCACCAGACCACAAGAGCCAACAGCAAAGUGCCUAGGGGACUCCCAUAAGCCCAGCCCUUUGACUGAUGGCAUUGUUGGGUGGUUCUUUCAGGCCCUCAUGGUGGGCCAGGCUAUGCCUUCUGCUAUGCAGCAGAACCAGUGUCCUACAGACUGCUUUCAUAGGGAAACUGGAGAGUAGGGACCUUGGGCUGCUCUGACUCAAAGUCCUUCAUGAGAAGGGAUAUUUGAGGUCUACCUGCCCCAUCCCGGGUCCAAAUGUACAAGCCAAAAAGGGGACUUUGCUGCUCCACCUGCACACACACCCACCAUCAUGCCACCUUUCCUUUCCCAUGAAUGGAAACUUGGGUCUGGGUCAAAUUAGCAUCUCUCUACUAUUCCAGUGUAGAGAACACUAAACAAACAAAUAAGCAAAUAAAACCUCAGCAAGAAAUCA